Molecule: small nuclear RNA, 103 nt
Organism: Zalophus californianus (California sea lion)
Lineage: Eukaryota; Metazoa; Chordata; Mammalia; Carnivora; Otariidae
Source: Ensembl
CUCACUUUGGCUGCACUAUACUAAAAUUAGAACGAUACAGAGAAGAUUAGCAUGGCCCCAGCUCAAGGACGACACACCAAUUCGUGAAGCCAAAACAAAGUUC